AGCAGCCGCGGUAAUUCCAGCUCCAAUAGCGUAUAUUAAAGUUGUUGCAGUUAAAAGCUCGUAGUUGAAUUUCGGGAUCAAUUAGUCGGUCGUGCCUCUGGUACGUACUGGUUUUAUUGGUUCCUCCCUUCUGACGAAACAUGAUGUCAUUAAUUUGGUGUCGUGGAGAAUCAGGACUGUUACCUUGAAAAAAUUAGAGUGUUUAUAGCAGGCUAACGCUUGAAUACAUUAGCAUGGAAUAAUGAAAUAGGACGUUCGACCCUAUUUUGUUGGUUUCUAGGAUCGACGUAAUGAUUAAUAGGGAUAGUUGGGGGCAUUAGUAUUCAAUUGUCAGAGGUGAAAUUCUUGGAUUUAUUGAAGACUAACUACUGCGAAAGCAUUUGCCAAGGAUGUUUUCAUUAAUCAAGAACGAAAGCUAGGGAUCGAAGACGAUCAGAUACCGUCGUAGUCUUAACCAUAAACUAUGCCGACUAGGGAUCGGAUGAUGUUAAUUUUUUAAUGACUCAUUCGGCGCCUUAAC
Molecule: unclassified non-coding RNA, 520 nt
Filed under: uncultured Glomus
Lineage: Eukaryota; Fungi; Glomeromycota; Glomeromycetes; Glomerales; Glomeraceae
Description: SSU rRNA
Rfam family: Eukaryotic small subunit ribosomal RNA
Source: RNAcentral